ACCCUCUUCCCUUUCCCAUGGAAUCUGAAUGCUCGUCUUGUGGAUGUAAAGGAAGGAAAGUGAUACUGAAGCUAACUUAUGCACUGCAUUGCAGUCUGUCAUAGCAUACGUGCUCAUUUCAAACAGGA
This 128-nucleotide small nucleolar RNA is filed under the name Dipodomys ordii (Ord's kangaroo rat). RNAcentral describes it as "Small nucleolar RNA SNORA61 (ENSDORG00000022497.2)". Lineage: Eukaryota; Metazoa; Chordata; Mammalia; Rodentia; Heteromyidae. The record is from RNAcentral.